AUUAAACUGAAGAGUUUGAUCCUGGCUCAGAUUGAACGCUGGCGGUAUGCUUAACACAUGCAAGUCGAACGGAAACGAUGGUAGCUUGCUACCAGGCGUCGAGUGGCGGACGGGUGAGUAAUGCGUAGGAAUCUGCCUAGUAGUGGGGGACAACUUGGGGAAACCCAGGCUAAUACCGCAUAAGCCCUAAGGGGGAAAGCGGGGGAUCUUCGGACCUCGCGCUAUUAGAUGAGCCUACGUCGGAUUAGCUAGUUGGUGAGGUAAAAGCUCACCAAGGCGACGAUCCGUAGCUGGUCUGAGAGGACGAUCAGCCACACUGGGACUGAGACACGGCCCAGACUCCUACGGGAGGCAGCAGUG
This 360-nucleotide ribosomal RNA is filed under the name Gammaproteobacteria bacterium. RNAcentral describes it as "bacterial SSU rRNA". It matches the Rfam family "Bacterial small subunit ribosomal RNA", at positions 1 to 356 of the family's 1533-position model. Lineage: Bacteria; Pseudomonadati; Pseudomonadota; Gammaproteobacteria. The record is from RNAcentral.